UCUGCUCAUGACCGCACUACCAACACACUAACAGUUUGGAUAUUUGAUCAGAGGGGCCUCUGGCCUGAUAGCACUAACCAUCAUGUGGGCAUAGUAUGGGCGUUCUGCGUCGUAUGCAUCACCCGAAGCUUAAUAGACGUCAUGCGAUUGAGCGGCGCGUGCUGGGUUGGACUGGUAAGCACCUGCCUUUUUAAGGAGGUAGCUAGGUCUGCUCACCGGCCGCCCACGCAACAUGCAGGAGUUUCCGGGGCGAUGGCCCAAGACCCCUGGGGGCAUAGGUUUAGUCUGGCGUGCUGACCUCUCUAUUAAGCCUAGGUCGGGUUGCGGCGUAUCAUUUGGCCGAGGCCGGACAUGACCCAGAAAGUGUGUCCGGCUGAAGUUAAUCAAGCGUGGUGGGUAAGUUGGUGCACCCCUGCAGGGAAGAAAACAUCUAUCGAUAGCCUGUCCUACGGUAACGGACACUUGGAGUUGUAUCCCAAUCGAUACAACUAGAACUGGAUACUGGAUGCUGAGGCAUGUAAUGGAUAUGAUGGUUCUGGGAUUGUCUCCUCGCAGAGAGUCAAGGAAGUGAUCUCUCGGCAAUGUUACAAAGUACUUACUAAUAUUAUAAUAUGCCACUCUUAUCUCUUCUGAUGCUGCAAGAUGCUUGGAGCUGCUUGAAGAGGCUAAUCUUCGAUAGGUUAGGCUUCCCCUUCUCUUCUGGCAUUCUGCAGUUUAGUCCACAGAUACAGUCCAUUCCUUUGAUACAGAUGCAUACUUAGUUUAGAUCUGAUGUAAGUCUUGCGAGUACUUUGGAUGAGUACUCACGGUUGGUUUGUCACCUCUUUUCCCCCAUACCUGAAUGUUGCGACCAGAUGACUGUUCCCAGGAGCCAGACGACACCACUGAUGACUACUACUACCCCGAGGGUGCCUACUACUACGUGACGUCCGCUGAUGACCUCGAGUAGUUAGGAGGCUCCCAGGCAGGAGGCCUUGCCUCUUCGAUCGUUGUUGCUUUUGUGCUAGCCUUCUUAAGGCAACAUGUUUAACUCAUGUCUGUACUCAUAUAUUAUUGCUUCCGCUGACUCUUGUGCAUUCGAGCUGAUGUAUUCGAGCCCUCGAGGCCCUUGGCUUGUAAUAUAAAGUUUGUAUUAUUUUAUUUUGUGUCUAGAGUUGUG
Molecule: long non-coding RNA, 1159 nt
Filed under: Triticum aestivum (bread wheat)
Lineage: Eukaryota; Viridiplantae; Streptophyta; Magnoliopsida; Poales; Poaceae
Description: long non-coding RNA (TAES_LNC005535)
Source: RNAcentral